Molecule: non-coding RNA, 148 nt
Filed under: Gorilla gorilla gorilla (western lowland gorilla)
Lineage: Eukaryota; Metazoa; Chordata; Mammalia; Primates; Hominidae
Source: Rfam by way of RNAcentral
GCCAGGCAUGUUGGCACAUGCCUGUAAUCCCAGCUACUCGGGAGGCUGAGGCAGGAGAAUUGCUUGAACCCAGGAGGCAGAGGUUGCAGUGAGCUGACAUCGCGCCACUGCACUCCACCCUGGGCAACAGAGCAAGACUCUGUCUCAA